This 455-nucleotide ribosomal RNA is filed under the name uncultured bacterium. RNAcentral describes it as "bacterial SSU rRNA". It matches the Rfam family "Bacterial small subunit ribosomal RNA", at positions 340 to 786 of the family's 1533-position model. The record is from RNAcentral.
UACGGGAGGCAGCAGUGGGGAAUAUUGCACAAUGGGCGCAAGCCUGAUGCAGCCAUGCCGCGUGUAUGAAGAAGGCCUUCGGGUUGUAAAGUACUUUCAGCGGGGAGGAAGGCGAUGCGGUUAAUAACCGCGUCGAUUGACGUUACCCGCAGAAGAAGCACCGGCUAACUCCGUGCCAGCAGCCGCGGUAAUACGGAGGGUGCAAGCGUUAAUCGGAAUUACUGGGCGUAAAGCGCACGCAGGCGGUCUGUUAAGUCAGAUGUGAAAUCCCCGGGCUUAACCUGGGAACUGCAUUUUGAAACUGGCAGGCUUGAGUCUUGUAGAGGGGGUAGAAUUCCAGGUGUAGCGGUGAAAUGCGUAGAGAUCUGGAGGAAUACCGGUGGCGAAGGCGGCCCCUGGGACAAGACUGACGCUCAGGUGCGAAAGCGUGGGGAGCAAACAGGGAUUAGGAUACC